This 831-nucleotide long non-coding RNA is filed under the name Homo sapiens (human). RNAcentral's name for it is "HSALNT0395015". The record is from RNAcentral. Lineage: Eukaryota; Metazoa; Chordata; Mammalia; Primates; Hominidae.
UCAAUGUCAACUCAAGCAAAAUUGGGAGCAAGUGAUACACACCCAUUUAAAAACCAAGCUGAGAAUGGAGUUUUACCUCUUCCCAAAAUAUCAAACAGAGGAAAUUAGAAAGGAGACUCUUCUGACAGAACUUACCCCUGAGAGUGAUGUCGAUGAGCUACAGGAGAAGCUGGCAGCUUUCCCCACAGAGUUGGACACACACAGGCUCAGGACUCAGAAGUGAAGAAAGAUUCCGUGGGGUUGGAAGAGCUGCAGGCCUGGAUGAAGUCCCCAGAAACAAGUGACCGUGGAAACAUCCUGCUGAGAUGGAGAAACUGUGACUCGCUCUGUCUGCAUCCCUGAGCUUUCACCUGGAAAAGGCACUGACCUUGUGUGUCGAAGUCUGCAGACUUUCAUUUUGGAGAUAUAUUUCACUCUGAAUAGUGAAUCAGAGUGGGGUGAAACAUCUGGCUUAUAAAAUGUUUCAAACCUCAAACCACUUUAGAUACUUGGAAAUCAUCUUCUCCACACAUUUAUUAUAAAACAGGAAGAGACCCAGAAAAAAUGCCACUCUGUUUUGAAGAUGGAAAGUAAGUGUCAUUGAUGUAAAAUUCUUGGAUUUCUUUUGUGUAGUUGUAGACUGUGAUUGCCAGUAUAUGGUCCACAAAGUUGUUGGUCAUUUUGUAAAUUUAAAAUUUGCCAGUUAGGCCUAAAAAUCAUCUCCCACAUGUGAUGGCAAGCCUAGAGGUGGUCGGCCCAUGCUUGCCCCUUUUGUCUCUCUGCUCAGCCAGCUUAGUCUGUGCUGUCCACCCCCAUGCUGAUCACCAAAUGGUCACUCUGUGGUGCUCCAGU